GAGACGCUGGCGGCGUGGAUUAGGCAUGCAAGUCGAACGGUAUCAUCCUUCGGGGAUGAGAGAGUGGCGAACGGGUGAGUAACACGUAGGUGAUCUACCCUCAAGACGGGGACAACCCAGGGAAACUUGGGCUAAUACCGGAUGUGAGCUAUCGUGAGAUAGUUUGAAAGGUGGCUUCGGCUGCCGCUUGAGGAUGAGCCUGCGUCCUAUUAGCUAGUUGGUGAGGUAACGGCUCACCGAGGCAGUGAUAGGUAGGCGGCCUUAACGGGUGGUCGCCCACACUGGGAUUGAGAUACGGCCCAGACUCCUACGGGAGGCAGCAGUCGAGAAUAGUCUACAAUGGUCGAAAGACUGAUAGUGCGACGCCGCGUGAACGAAGAAGCCCUUCGGGGUGUAAAGUUCUUUUAUAUGUGAGCAGUGACAUCUAUAUUAAUAGUAUGGGUGUAGAGAUAUUAGCAUAUGAAUAAGCAACGGCUAACUCCGUG
Molecule: ribosomal RNA, 485 nt
Filed under: uncultured bacterium
Lineage: Bacteria
Description: bacterial SSU rRNA
Rfam family: Bacterial small subunit ribosomal RNA
Source: RNAcentral